RNAcentral lists this ribosomal RNA (339 nucleotides) under Triticum aestivum (bread wheat). RNAcentral's name for it is "partial small subunit ribosomal RNA". Lineage: Eukaryota; Viridiplantae; Streptophyta; Magnoliopsida; Poales; Poaceae. The record is from RNAcentral.
AUGGCGGCCCCCUGCUCGAGCCCAAGCCGGAGCAGGAGCCGCCGCUGUUGGCGGAGUACAGGGGCGGUGGCCAGCGAGCCCGGCGACCCUGCAGAACUGUCAGGGCUCCUCCGGGCGCUGCGCGAAUCGACAAAGGGGCUGCAACGCCACCCCGAUGACCCGGUGGACUCGUCGGAGCUGCGACAGGUGGUUGUCACCUCGGUGGCUAACGUUACCAUCGUCCUCAUGAGCGACGACGACGAGAACGAGAAGAAGGAGGAGGACGACAAGGACGAGAAGGAGGAGGAGGACGACAAAGUACUUCGUUGGCAGCGACAGCGGCUCCGACGUGGACGAUGA